Schistocerca nitens (vagrant locust) is the source of this 1028-nucleotide long non-coding RNA. RefSeq lists it as uncharacterized. The transcript has 3 exons. The record is from RefSeq and is a predicted model, not a curated record. Lineage: Eukaryota; Metazoa; Arthropoda; Insecta; Orthoptera; Acrididae.
GAGCUACUAAAUACGUGGAUUACUUCCGUGAAGCGGAAAGAUUUUAAUCCUACGUCUUGCAGUUACUUUGCGGAAACCAUUUCCGACAAGAUGAUUACGUAGUGAACCCUGGAACGUGGAAGAAACGUCUCAAACCCGAAGCAGUGCCAUCAGUUUUUGACUUUCCGACACAUUUGAUGCCACCAAAUAAACAGCCACGACGACAUGUUGUUACGAUUUUGAGUGCCAACGAUGAUUCUCCAUUUGAGCGUUCUGUCAUGGAAUCCGUGCUCGAUUUUCCCAUUGCAGACGCUACUGAUUGCGGGGAGAAUGUUGUCAAUGAGAAUUCUUCCGUGGAAAGCAUGUCCCACUUAUCCAAUGCAGAAGCUGUGAAUUGUGUCGAAAACAGUGCAGUUGGUUCUUCAGUAAUUGAUUGUGGUAUACAGUCGAAAGUAGAAAUGGAAGACAUGGCGACCGAAACUUGCAUUAUAUUUCUUUUUUCCUCAGACAUUGUGCACUAAUUAAAACGUAAACUGAAGUGUGUCCGUGAAAAACUUCGAAGAAGGAAGUGUUUUCCAUUGAUGACAUCAUAAGUUCAUUGAAGGAGAAGGGGCAUCUUCCUGAGAAGUUACAUAACUUCCUCAAUCAUCAGAAAGGAACACAAGUGGAAUUAGUGUGCAAUGUAGUGAACACCUCUCUCUCGUCAAAGGGUAAUAGAUACACAACAAAUGUGAAAAUGUUUGCUAUGACUGUGUACUUUUAUUCACCAGCAGCAUAUGAAUACCAGCAAAAAUUAAUGCCUCUGCCCCAUACAUCAUUGAUUUCCAAAUGGGUGGCAAGUGUAGACUGUGAUCCUGGCUUCUUAAAAGAUGUUUUCAAGUACAUUGAUUUGAACCCAAUUGUAAGGGACCAGUUCAGCGAUUCAUGUCUAAUUGUAGACAGUAUGGGAAUUAGGAAGCAAGUAGUUUGGGACCAAGGAACUAAGCAAUACACAGGUUUUUUAGACUUUGGUGGGGAAGUGCCUCAGUCAAAAGAAGUAAUAGAGGCAU